Molecule: non-coding RNA, 83 nt
Organism: Xenorhabdus beddingii
Lineage: Bacteria; Pseudomonadati; Pseudomonadota; Gammaproteobacteria; Enterobacterales; Morganellaceae
Source: Rfam
GCCGUACUAAACACGUUCCUUGCCUCCAUGGGCCACGGCUGACCCUGACAGGAGGCUGAAUAAUCCGUAAGGAGCAACUCAUG